GAUGAACGCUGGCGGCGUGCCUAACACAUGCAAGUCGAGCGAACGGACGAUAAGCUCUCUCCCCUGAUGUUAGCGGCGGACGGGCGAGUAACACGUGCAUAACCUACUUCUUAGACUGGGAUAACUUCGGGAAACCGUAGCUAAUACCGGAUAAUACUUUGAACCGCAUGGUUCAAAAGUUAUAGACGCUUUUGCUGUUACUAAUAGAUGAAUCCGCGCUGCAUUAGCUAGUUGGUAAGGUAACGGCUUACCAAGGCAACGAUGCAUAGCCGACCUGAGAGGAUGAUCGGCCACACUGGAACUGAGACACGGUCCAGACUCCUACGGGAGGCAGCAGUAGGGAAUCUUCCGCAAUGGGCGAAAGCCUGACGGAGCAACGCCGCGUGAGUGAUGAAGGUCUUCGGAUCGUAAAGCUCUGUUAUUAGGGAAGAACAUAUGUGUAAGUAACUGUGCACAUCUUGACGGUACCUAAUCAGAAAGCCACGGCUAACUACGUG
RNAcentral lists this ribosomal RNA (497 nucleotides) under uncultured bacterium. Its description in RNAcentral is "partial 16S ribosomal RNA". It matches the Rfam family "Bacterial small subunit ribosomal RNA", at positions 28 to 507 of the family's 1533-position model. The record is from RNAcentral.